AAAGUCGUAACAAGGUUUCCGUAGGUGAACCUGCGGAAGGAUCAUUACUGGAAAUAUUCGAGGUUGUAGCUGGCCUUCCGGGGUAAAUGUGCUCGCCUUGAUUCAAAUCCAUCUAACACCUGUGCACUUAAUGUAGUCUAUUGGGGGUGUUACCUUCGGGAAAAACCCCUUAUUAGAUCUACGUCUUUCACACAUACACUUUAAAAAAGUUUAGAAUGUCAUAAUUGUGAUAAAUAUAUAUACACAUUUAAAACAACUUUCAACAACGGAUCUCUUGGCUCUC
RNAcentral lists this unclassified non-coding RNA (283 nucleotides) under Basidiomycota sp. Its description in RNAcentral is "partial contains small subunit ribosomal RNA, internal transcribed spacer 1, and 5.8S ribosomal RNA". The stretch from base 1 to 47 matches the Rfam family "Eukaryotic small subunit ribosomal RNA", at positions 1785 to 1831 of the family's 1831-position model. The record is from RNAcentral. Lineage: Eukaryota; Fungi; Basidiomycota.